This 401-nucleotide ribosomal RNA is filed under the name uncultured bacterium. Its description in RNAcentral is "bacterial SSU rRNA". It matches the Rfam family "Bacterial small subunit ribosomal RNA", at positions 356 to 773 of the family's 1533-position model. The record is from RNAcentral.
GGGGAAUAUUGGACAAUGGGCGCAAGCCUGAUCCAGCAAUGCCGCGUGUGUGAAGAAGGUCUUCGGAUUGUAAAGCACUUUCGGCGGGGACGAUGAUGACGGUACCCGCAGAAGAAGCCCCGGCUAACUUCGUGCCACCAGCCGCGGUAAUACGAAGGGGGCUAGCGCUGCUCGGAAUGACUGGGCGUAAAGGGCGCGUAGGCGGGCUGCGCAGUCAGAUGUGAAAUUCCUGGGCUUAACCUGGGGGCUGCAUUUGAGACGCGUGGUCUAGAGUAUAAAAGAGGGUCGUGGAAUUCCCAGUGUAGAGGUGAAAUUCGUAGAUAUUGGGAAGAACACCGGUGGCGAAGGCGGCGACAUGGUUCAUUUACUGACGCUGAGGCGCGAAAGCGUGGGGAGCAAAC